CCAGACUCCUACGGGAGGCAGCAGUGGGGAAUAUUGGACAAUGGGGGGAACCCUGAUCCAGCGACGCCGCGUGAGUGAAGAAGUAUUUCGGUAUGUAAAGCUCUAUCAGCAGGGAAGAAAAUGACGGUACCUGACUAAGAAGCCCCGGCUAACUACGUGCCAGCAGCCGCGGUAAUACGUAGGGGGCAAGCGUUAUCCGGAUUUACUGGGUGUAAAGGGAGCGUAGACGGCAAUGCAAGCCAGAUGUGAAAGCCCGGGGCUCAACCCCGGGACUGCAUUUGGAACUGCACGGCUGGAGUGCGGGAGGGGCAGGCGGAAUUCCUGGUGUAGCGGUGAAAUGCGUAGAUAUCAGGAGGAACACCGGCGGCGAAGGCGGCCUGCUGGACUGCGACUGACGUUGAGGCCCGAAAGCGUGGGGAGCAAACAGGAUUAGAUACCCGAGUA
Molecule: ribosomal RNA, 444 nt
Filed under: uncultured bacterium
Lineage: Bacteria
Description: partial 16S ribosomal RNA
Rfam family: Bacterial small subunit ribosomal RNA
Source: RNAcentral